GCGAACGGGUGAGUAACACGUGGGUGAUCUGCCCUGCACUUCGGGAUAAGCCUGGGAAACUGGGUCUAAUACCGGAUAUGACCACAGGCUGCAUGGCUUGUGGUGGAAAGGUUUACUGGUGCAGGAUGGGCCCGCGGCCUAUCAGCUUGUUGGUGGGGUAAUGGCCUACCAAGGCGACGACGGGUAGCCGACCUGAGAGGGUGACCGGCCACACUGGGACUGAGACACGGCCCAGACUCCUACGGGAGGCAGCAGUGGGGAAUAUUGCACAAUGGGCGAAAGCCUGAUGCAGCGACGCCGCGUGAGGGAUGAAGGCCUUCGGGUUGUAAACCUCUUUCAGCAGGGACGAAGCGCAAGUGACGGUACCUGCAGAAGAAGCACCGGCUAACUACGUGCCAGCAGCCGCGGUAAUACGUAGGGUGCGAGCGUUGUCCGGAAUUACUGGGCGUAAAGAGUUCGUAGGCGGUUUGUCGCGUCGUCUGUGAAAACCCAUCGCUCAACGAUGGGCCGGCAGGCGAUACGGGCAGACUUGAGUACUGCAGGGGAGACUGGAAUUCCUGGUGUAGCGGUGAAAUGCGCAGAUAUCAGGAGGAACACCGGUGGCGAAGGCGGGUCUCUGGGCAGUAACUGACGCUGAGGAACGAAAGCGUGGGUAGCAAACAGGAUUAGAUACCCUGGUAGUCCACGCCGUAAACGGUGGGCGCUAGGUGUG
This 712-nucleotide ribosomal RNA is filed under the name Rhodococcus sp. (in: high G+C Gram-positive bacteria). Its description in RNAcentral is "bacterial SSU rRNA". It matches the Rfam family "Bacterial small subunit ribosomal RNA", at positions 98 to 824 of the family's 1533-position model. The record is from RNAcentral. Lineage: Bacteria; Bacillati; Actinomycetota; Actinomycetes; Mycobacteriales; Nocardiaceae.